Pteropus vampyrus (large flying fox) is the source of this 164-nucleotide small nuclear RNA. Its record names the gene U1. It matches the Rfam family "U1 spliceosomal RNA". Rfam says of the family: U1 is a small nuclear RNA (snRNA) component of the spliceosome (involved in pre-mRNA splicing). Lineage: Eukaryota; Metazoa; Chordata; Mammalia; Chiroptera; Pteropodidae. The record is from Ensembl.
AUACUUACCUGGUAGGGGAGAUACCAUGAUCCCAAAGGUGCUUUUUUCCCAGGGUGAGGCAUAUCCAUUCCAUUUGGGAUGUGCCGACCCCUGCGAUUUCCCCAAAUGUGGGAAACUCGACUACAUAAUUUGUGGUAGUAGAAGACUGCAUUUGCACUUUCCCC